RNAcentral lists this long non-coding RNA (732 nucleotides) under Capsicum annuum. RNAcentral describes it as "long non-coding RNA (CANN_LNC011747)". The record is from RNAcentral. Lineage: Eukaryota; Viridiplantae; Streptophyta; Magnoliopsida; Solanales; Solanaceae.
UUAAACAGCGCCUCUACUCUGGUUACUCCCCGCCACGGCUUCUUGCCUCAAUGGUUUCACCUUUAGGAUGGCAUAGUCCUUAGGGAUAUUUCUCCGUUUCCUCUUUGUUAAUAAACUUCUUAACAUAUUAUUCUUCGAAUAAUUCUACUAUAAAGUAACUAAUAUGAAUUAUUUUAUCAUAUCAUGAUUGUUGGGAAUUAUGAAAUUAGCUAUUCAUAAUUAUAAAUAGAUAUACCUGUUCCGGUAGCUUUGAUGUUUCUGAGUUUUGUUGUUCCAUAGCUUUUUCCAUUGGAGUAUAUUUAUCUAAUUAACUGAGUAAUUUUUGUGGAAUGGAGAGAGAAAGGUUUGCUUCAAAAGAAGGCUUGCUUUCCGCAAUACCCUCGACCUUUGUAUUUAUAGAAUGAAUUUACAUAUCUGCUGUGCCUAAGAAGUAAUGAAAAUUAAAGAAGUGGGGCCUAUCCCCAUCUAACUUUUCCUAAAAUUCUAAGUUACGUAAAGUUUCUCAAUUAAAACUAAGCCUAAGAAGUCAAAAAGGUAUCUAACUUACAAUUUCUAAAACUAAAGAAAAAAAAUAGUCAACAAUAGUGGCUUACAUAUACAUUUUUUCUACGUAAAAAGUCUAACAAAUUAAUUAAUGUACAGUAUCUUGUCUCCGUUGAUUUUGUCGUAUCUGCUCCAUUAUUGCUCUGUAUCUGCUCCAUUAUUGCUCUGUAUCUGCUCCAUUAUUGCUCU